Stegodyphus mimosarum is the source of this 73-nucleotide non-coding RNA. NCBI's taxonomy places the organism in Eukaryota, Metazoa, Arthropoda, Arachnida, Araneae, Eresidae. The record is from Rfam.
GCCGUCGUGGUGUAGUAGUCAGCACGCUCGACACCUAACUGAGAGGUCCGUGGUUCGAUUCCCGAUGAGGGCA